AAUGAACGUUGGCGGCGUGGAUUAGGCAUGCAAGUCGAGCGUACCCAGCAAUGGGGAAGCGGCAAACGGGGUAGUAAGGCGUCGGUACGUGCCCUCGGGACGAGGAUAGCCACGGGAAACUGUGGGUAAUACUCGAUGAUCUCGUGAGAGCAAAGGUGUGAUUCCGCCAGGGGAGCGGCCGACGUGGUAUUAGGUAGUUGGUGGGGUAAUGGCCCACCAAGCCUGGGAUGCCUAGGGGGUGUGAGAGCAUGGCCCCCACCAUUGGGACUGAGAUACUGCCCAGACACCUACGGGUGGCUGCAGUCGAGAAUCUUCGGCAAUGGGCGCAAGCCUGACCGAGCGACGCCGCGUGCGGGAUGAAGGCCUUCGGGUUGUAAACCGACUGUCAGAGGGGAGUGAAAUCACAGUGGGUUCUCCACUUGUGUUGACAGAGCCUCAGAGGAAGCGGCGGCGUAAGUUCGUGCCAGCAGCC
This 472-nucleotide ribosomal RNA is filed under the name uncultured bacterium. Its description in RNAcentral is "bacterial SSU rRNA". It matches the Rfam family "Bacterial small subunit ribosomal RNA", at positions 28 to 516 of the family's 1533-position model. The record is from RNAcentral.